This 465-nucleotide ribosomal RNA is filed under the name uncultured bacterium. Its description in RNAcentral is "partial 16S ribosomal RNA". It matches the Rfam family "Bacterial small subunit ribosomal RNA", at positions 28 to 507 of the family's 1533-position model. The record is from RNAcentral.
GACGAACGCUGGCGGCGUGCUUAACACAUGCAAGUCGUACGGUAAGGCCCUUUCGGGGGUACACGAGUGGCGAACGGGUGAGUAACACGUGAGUAACCUGCCCACAACUUUGGGAUAACGCUAGGAAACUGGUGCUAAUACUGGAUAUGUGCUCCUGCUGCAUGGUGGGGGUUGGAAAGCUCCGGCGGUUGUGGAUGGACUCGCGGCCUAUCAGCUUGUUGGUGGGGUAGUGGCCUACCAAGGCGGCGACGGGUAGCCGGCCUGAGAGGGUGACCGGCCACAUUGGGACUGAGAUACGGCCCAGACUCCUACGGGAGGCAGCAGUGGGGAAUAUUGCACAAUGGGCGCAAGCCUGAUGCAGCAACGCCGCGUGCGGGAUGACGGCCUUCGGGUUGGAAACCGCUUUCAGCAGGGACGAAGCUUUUUGUGACGGUACCUGCAGAAGAAGCACCGGCUAACUACGUG